Molecule: non-coding RNA, 25 nt
Filed under: Enterobacteriaceae bacterium B14
Lineage: Bacteria; Pseudomonadati; Pseudomonadota; Gammaproteobacteria; Enterobacterales; Enterobacteriaceae
Description: L25-Gammaproteobacteria ribosomal protein leader
Rfam family: L25-Gammaproteobacteria ribosomal protein leader
Source: RNAcentral
CCGCUGCUGGGUCGCCUGUAGCGGU